RNA transcript from Acipenser ruthenus (sterlet), 3538 nucleotides. It is a transcript of the gene named BRCA1-A complex subunit RAP80-like, with no coding region annotated. NCBI's taxonomy places the organism in Eukaryota, Metazoa, Chordata, Actinopteri, Acipenseriformes, Acipenseridae. The transcript is spliced from 16 exons. The record is from RefSeq and is a predicted model, not a curated record.
GGUAUUGAUCUAGUGUUUUGUGAGAUGUCGAUGGCAGUUAGUCAGCCAGGUUCCCAGCAUUCCCUGCCCCAAGUCACGUGACCGUGGUUGUUGUUGUCUGUGUGCGAGAAGCCAAGUACAGGGGGUCGUAUUUUCAGGGAAGAAGUAGGGGGAUGUUUAGCGUGGAUGUUGUUUUUAUUAAGUAAACACAAACCAUUGACACUAGUUUUAAAUAUUUGCGGAAUCGCACUUUUUGCUGAUACUUAGCAACUCGCUCCUGUAAACAGCAACGCUAUCGAUGCUGUCAAACAAAUAACGCAUGUCUGUUUGUUUUUCCCUCUAAUUUAUCCUCGUUGCUUUCUUUGUCGUUAAUGCCCAACAGGAGUACGUUUAAUAAUAUAAAAGCAUGCCACGCAAGAGACGAAAUCCCUCGGGGGAAGAGAUGGCGGUUUCUAGGCGGACGAGGCAACGCACCAAUACCAAUAAAAACACCAGCCAGUCUAUAGUCAUUUCUGACAGCGAGAGUGAGGAAGGAGAUAAUGGAUUGGUGCAAAGGCAGGACGGACGUUCGCGGGACAGAGAGAAAACAAAGCGACACAGCCCAGAGAUGACAGAGGAACAGAUGCUGGACCUGGCAGUGAGAAUGAGUGAACAGGAGGCCAAUCAAAGACACGAGGAGGAGGAGGCCCUGAAGAAGGCUAUUGAAGAGAGUCUUUGUGAAAAUGGCGUUUCCCAUAAAGCUGACCAGAGCAGACCAGAGGGUGUUCAACAAAACCCAGGGAAUAAAGGAAAAGAAAAAAUGCACUCCACUCAACCAGAUGCCAGUUUUCCAGGAGACUCCCAGUGGGAAUCCGUUCUUGGGAAUGCUAAUCCUAAAGAGCGAAGCCCCGUUCUCGUCUUGGAGAAGCUGAGCCAAGAUGUGGUUGGCAGCUGCCAGGAGUUGGGUUUUGUCGCCUGUUCACAAGAAUGUCCUUUGACAGUAACACCUCUGUCUGCUAAAAGAACGAGCGAGGGGAACCGAUUGAAACGCAAGUUGAGCUUCCGAAGGACAGAUCCGGUAGACAGCUAUCGAGCCGACGGAGGGGAGGGCUCGUCCGCAAACCUGUGCAGCGGCAAGAGAAGAGGGCAGCAGGGCAGCACAACUCCCCAGGAACCAGAGACCUGUCAGCAUCCUGCAGACGCCCCCCAUUUGCCCCUGGUGCAGGAAAAAAGAACAUGCCGUAAAACUGAACAGAAUGGAUCCCCCUUAAGGAUGGAAGAGGAUGCUUCUCUAAAUGUAAUCAUGUUGGACGACUCCCAGUAUUCUGAGUCCCUCCUGAGGAGUAGUAGUGGUCCCCAGUGCCUGCAAAGCGGCGAGCAGAGUCCCAUACUCUUGUUGGGGAGUCAAGACGUGGCUGGCAGCUGCCGGGAGAUGAGUUCCCUCACCUGUUCCCAAAGUCCUUUGACAUUCUCGCCUUUGAGGAGUCCUCUGCCUUCCGUGAAUCAGGAUUCUCCUUAUCCUAAGAGUCCCACAUUCCCUAAAAGAAAGAACGAGGGGAACCGCUUGAGGAGGACAUUCUCAAGGAGAGACACGGUACACCGAAAUCGAGCCGACGGAGGCGAGAGCUCCUCAGCGGACCUCUCCAGCAGUGAUGGAAGAGGGAAGCAGGGCAGCACACCUCCCCAGGAACCAGAGACCUCUUGGCAUUGCGCAGCAGCCCCCCGAGAGGACUCGAACACCCCUCUCAGCUGCUCCUCGACACCGGUGGCUACAGAGGGGGCAGGCAGCAUGCCCCGGGGAGAGGGCGCGGUGCACUAUUACUGGGGUGUCCCCUUCUGCCCCCAGGGUUUGAACCCAGAUGAUUACACCAAGGUGAUCCUGUGCCAGCUGGAGGUGUAUGAGAAGAGCCUGAAGCAGGCACAGAGGGGGCUGCUGCGCAAGGCAGAGUGGGGGGAGCCCGUGCUCACAGGCCCCCCUGCAACACACCCCUCCCGCAGGACCAGGCUGUCCCGACUGAGCAAGGGGGCAGGUAAGAGCCGGAGCUUUCAGGACUCUCAGAGCCCUCGGGACAGCGAGCAGGAGGGAGAAGAGGAGGAGAGCUCUCAGCAGGACAAUGAGGGCAGAGAGAGAAGAGAGGAGGAGGAGCAACAGGAAGAGGAGAUGUCCAACUCGCAGCAGCAGGCAGCAUCUUCAGCAAUGAUCAGAGCAGAAGGCACCACGGAGACCUGGCUGAACCUGAGAAGGAGACGCGGCCUGAGGGAGGAGAGGAGCCCCAGAGAGCCAGAGGAGCAGCAGAAACAGAGAGAAGAGGAGGAGGAGAAGAUGGACUUGGACAUGUGUCCAGAAACCCAGCUCAGUGAAGAGUCCAGCCAGCCUCUGCUUAAAGAUAGUCCUGCACGGACACAGUCCCUGGAGGAUGUUGUGGAGAAGCUGGGCUCAGCCCCCGUGUCACAGAGAGCACAGCGUGUGGAGUGUCCAAUCUGCAUGCAGAGCUUCCCACAGAACCGCAUUGAGAUGCACGCAGCCUACUGUGAUGGAACCAGGGAAUCAGAAGAGCUGGUGGUGGAGGAGGAGGAGGAGACAGCCUCACAGGUGAUGAGCCUGAGACGAAGCAUCAGGAAAGCAGACUCCUCGGAUGCUGCUGAACCCAGUCCAUCCUGCUCUGACAGAUCAGCUCAGAAGGAGAAGUGCUACAUCUGCCAAGACUGGAUUUCAGUAAAGGAGUACCAGAGCCACGUCGACAACUGCAUCCGCAGGGGCAAAAACUGGAAAAGCAAGAAGCUCCUGGCUGCCUUAGAGCAUUCAGAACGUAAAGAUUCAGGAAAUGCAGAGGUUGGCACUUCAGAUUCCUUUUUCAACCACAGAGAAGACGGCGGGCUUGUCUCCUGCCUGGAUGUUGAGGAGCAGGAGCCUGGCAGCGGUGGAGACGGGCCUGCUUGCCCCUUCCAGCUGAGCGAUUCUCCCAUCAGAUCCUAUGUGCCCAUCUCCCAAGCCACGGACUGCCUCGUUGACUUCAAAAAGCAACUAACAGGGCCGACUGAGGGGCAGAAGAGGAAGAGAAAGAGAGGAAGAUACAGAUGAACAACUUCAUUACCAAAAUAGGAAAGAUCUUGACAGCCAGGAAUCAUUCAUUCCUCCUCCAUGGAAGAGAACAUGUUCAGCCAGCGCCUGCAGGCAGCUCUGCUCUCGCUGGCCCCGGAGUGCGACGUCUCCUUCCUGCUCUCGGAGGACGGCAGUGGGAAGGGCGCUGCCAUGGUGACGGCAGUGACCGAGAGGCUGGCCAAUGGACCGCACCUCGUUGACAAUGCCACUCAGGAGGAGUGAACAGCAGGAAGUGGCAGCGUGUGUGGAGAGGGAGACACGCUGCACGCAGUACAAACCUGCUCACUACAACACUCACAAACAGAAAGUGAAAUGAGCACAACAUGAUCCUUUAUUAUAUGAAGUAUGAAGCCUACAAGCAACAGGGGAACCCUAAGGGGUAUUAUUGAGAGGGCUGCGCUAAUUAAUGCUGCUAAUGAUUUUCACCUCUGGAGGUCAAAAAAAACACAAUUAAAAAAACUCCCUUUUUUACAACCA